Molecule: ribosomal RNA, 1555 nt
Filed under: Escherichia coli
Lineage: Bacteria; Pseudomonadati; Pseudomonadota; Gammaproteobacteria; Enterobacterales; Enterobacteriaceae
Description: bacterial SSU rRNA
Rfam family: Bacterial small subunit ribosomal RNA
Source: RNAcentral
UUAAAUUGAAGAGUUUGAUCAUGGCUCAGAUUGAACGCUGGCGGCAGGCCUAACACAUGCAAGUCGAACGGUAACAGGAAACAGCUUGCUGUUUCGCUGACGAGUGGCGGACGGGUGAGUAAUGUCUGGGAAACUGCCUGAUGGAGGGGGAUAACUACUGGAAACGGUAGCUAAUACCGCAUAACGUCGCAAGACCAAAGAGGGGGACCUUCGGGCCUCUUGCCAUCGGAUGUGCCCAGAUGGGAUUAGCUUGUUGGUGGGGUAACGGCUCACCAAGGCGACGAUCCCUAGCUGGUCUGAGAGGAUGACCAGCCACACUGGAACUGAGACACGGUCCAGACUCCUACGGGAGGCAGCAGUGGGGAAUAUUGCACAAUGGGCGCAAGCCUGAUGCAGCCAUGCCGCGUGUAUGAAGAAGGCCUUCGGGUUGUAAAGUACUUUCAGCGGGGAGGAAGGGAGUAAAGUUAAUACCUUUGCUCAUUGACGUUACCCGCAGAAGAAGCACCGGCUAACUCCGUGCCAGCAGCCGCGGUAAUACGGAGGGUGCAAGCGUUAAUCGGAAUUACUGGGCGUAAAGCGCACGCAGGCGGUUUGUUAAGUCAGAUGUGAAAUCCCCGGGCUCAACCUGGGAACUGCAUCUGAUACUGGCAAGCUUGAGUCUCGUAGAGGGGGGUAGAAUUCCAGGUGUAGCGGUGAAAUGCGUAGAGAUCUGGAGGAAUACCGGUGGCGAAGGCGGCCCCCUGGACGAAGACUGACGCUCAGGUGCGAAAGCGUGGGGAGCAAACAGGAUUAGAUACCCUGGUAGUCCACGCCGUAAACGAUGUCGACUUGGAGGUUGUGCCCUUGAGGCGUGGCUUCCGGAGCUAACGCGUUAAGUCGACCGCCUGGGGAGUACGGCCGCAAGGUUAAAACUCAAAUGAAUUGACGGGGCCCGCACAAGCGGUGGAGCAUGUGGUUUAAUUCGAUGCAACGCGAAGAACCUUACCUGGUCUUGACAUCCACGGAAGUUUUCAGAGAUGAGAAUGUGCCUUCGGGAACCGUGAGACAGGUGCUGCAUGGCUGUCGUCAGCUCGUGUUGUGAAAUGUUGGGUUAAGUCCCGCAACGAGCGCAACCCUUAUCCUUUGUUGCCAGCGGUCCGGCCGGGAACUCAAAGGAGACUGCCAGUGAUAAACUGGAGGAAGGUGGGGAUGACGUCAAGUCAUCAUGGCCCUUACGACCAGGGCUACACACGUGCUACAAUGGCGCAUACAAAGAGAAGCGACCUCGCGAGAGCAAGCGGACCUCAUAAAGUGCGUCGUAGUCCGGAUUGGAGUCUGCAACUCGACUCCAUGAAGUCGGAAUCGCUAGUAAUCGUGGAUCAGAAUGCCACGGUGAAUACGUUCCCGGGCCUUGUACACACCGCCCGUCACACCAUGGGAGUGGGUUGCAAAAGAAGUAGGUAGCUUAACCUUCGGGAGGGCGCUUACCACUUUGUGAUUCAUGACUGGGGUGAAGUCGUAACAAGGUAACCGUAGGGGAACCUGCAGUUGGAUCACCUCCUUACCUUAAAGAAGC